RNAcentral lists this small RNA (181 nucleotides) under Pseudacidovorax intermedius. Its description in RNAcentral is "6S / SsrS RNA". The record is from RNAcentral. Lineage: Bacteria; Pseudomonadati; Pseudomonadota; Betaproteobacteria; Burkholderiales; Comamonadaceae.
ACUCGUCUGCGAUGCCGCCGGGCUUUAUAUUUCCUUGAACCAAUGCUCUAUGGAGCCCGGGCUUGGUACAUCGCCUGGCAAGCGUGAUCAUCUCGCGUCAGAUGAACCCAAUGCCUUGCUGCCCUCGCCCACCUGAACCCUGCGUUCAGGAUGACGGUCCGGUGGCAUUCGCAGACACCUC